AUCCUGGCUUAGGACGAACGCUGGCGGCGUGCCUAAUACAUGCAAGUCGAACGGUCUUUUCUAUGGAAGCUUGCUUCCACUGAGAAGAUAGUGGCGAACGGGUGAGUAACACGUGGGUAACCUGCCCAUAAGAGGGGGGAUAACAUCCGAAACGGGUGCUAAUACCGCAUAGUUUUCUUGAUCGCAUGAUCGGGAAAGGAAAGACGGCCUUUGUGCUGUCGCUUAUGGAUGGACCCGCGGCGUAUUAGUUAGUUGGUGAGGUAACGGCUCACCAAGACGAUGAUACGUAGCCGACCUGAGAGGGUGAUCGGCCACAUUGGGACUGAGACACGGCCCAAACUCCUACGGGAGGCAGCAGUAGGGAAUCUUCCGCAAUGGACGAAAGUCUGACGGAGCAACGCCGCGUGAGUGAAGAAAGGUUUUCGGAUCGUAAAACUCUGUUGUCAGAGAAGAACAAGUUGGAGAGUAACUGCUCCAGCCUUGACGGUAUCUGACCAGAAAGCCACGGCUAACUACGUGCCAGCAGCGGC
This 530-nucleotide ribosomal RNA is filed under the name uncultured bacterium. RNAcentral describes it as "bacterial SSU rRNA". It matches the Rfam family "Bacterial small subunit ribosomal RNA", at positions 16 to 518 of the family's 1533-position model. The record is from RNAcentral.